ACGAACGCUGGCGGCGCGCCUAACACAUGCAAGUCGAACGGAGUCAAGAGGAGCUUGCUUUUCUUGACUUAGUGGCGAACGGGUGAGUAACGCGUGAGUAACCUGCCCUGGAGUGGGGGACAACAGUUGGAAACGACUGCUAAUACCGCAUAAGCCCACGGAUCCGCAUGGAUCUGCGGGAAAAGGAUUUAUUCGCUUCAGGAUGGACUCGCGUCCAAUUAGCUAGUUGGUGAGGUAACGGCCCACCAAGGCGACGAUUGGUAGCCGGACUGAGAGGUUGAACGGCCACAUUGGGACUGAGACACGGCCCAGACUCCUACGGGAGGCAGCAGUGGGGGAUAUUGCACAAUGGGGGAAACCCUGAUGCAGCGACGCCGCGUGGAGGAAGAAGGUUUUCGGAUUGUAAACUCCUGUCGUUAGGGACGAUAAUGACGGUACCUAACAAGGAAGCACCGGCUAACUACGU
RNAcentral lists this ribosomal RNA (466 nucleotides) under uncultured bacterium. Its description in RNAcentral is "partial 16S ribosomal RNA". It matches the Rfam family "Bacterial small subunit ribosomal RNA", at positions 29 to 506 of the family's 1533-position model. The record is from RNAcentral.